GACGAACGCUGGCGGCGCGCUUAACACAUGCAAGUCGUGCGGUACCGAUGGCAAGUCUUCUUGACGAGCCUUCGGUAUAGCGGCGGACGGGUGAGUAACACGUGAGUAGCUGUCCUAGGGAGGGGGAUAACGCCUGGAAACGGGUGCUAAAACCCCAUAAGCCUCGAAAGAGGUAAAAGUGCAUCACUGCAGUCCUAGGGUGUGCUCGCGGCCUAUCAGCUAGUUGGUGAGGUAAGGGCUCACCAAGGCCAAGACGGGUAGCCGGCCUGAGAGGGUGUACGGCCACACUGGAAUUGAGGUACGGUCCAGACUCCUACGGGAGGCAGCAGUGGGGAAUUUUGGGCAAUGGGCGAAAGCCUGACCCAGCGACGCCGCGUUGGGGAUGAAGUCCUUCGGGCGGUAACCAACUGUUGUAGGGAAGGAAGAAAGUAGACGGUACCUACCGAGAAAGACCCGGCCCGAACUACGUAGCCAGCAGCCGCCGGUAAGUGAGUAGUACA
This 500-nucleotide ribosomal RNA is filed under the name uncultured bacterium. RNAcentral's name for it is "bacterial SSU rRNA". It matches the Rfam family "Bacterial small subunit ribosomal RNA", at positions 28 to 536 of the family's 1533-position model. The record is from RNAcentral.